RNAcentral lists this ribosomal RNA (450 nucleotides) under uncultured bacterium. Its description in RNAcentral is "bacterial SSU rRNA". It matches the Rfam family "Bacterial small subunit ribosomal RNA", at positions 330 to 794 of the family's 1533-position model. The record is from RNAcentral.
GCCAGACUCCUACGGGAGGCAGCAGUGGGGAAUAUUGGGCAAUGGGCGCAAGCCUGACCCAGCAACGCCGCGUGAAGGAAGAAGGCUUUCGGGUUGUAAACUUCUUUUAUCAGGGACGAAGCAAGUGACGGUACCUGAUGAAUAAGCCACGGCUAACUACGUGCCAGCAGCCGCGGUAAUACGUAGGUGACAAGCGUUGUCCGGAUUUACUGGGUGUAAAGGGCGCGUAGGCGGGAUAGCAAGUCAGUCGUGAAAUGCCGAGGCUUAACCUCGGAGCUGCGAUUGAAACUGUUAUUCUUGAGUAUCGGAGAGGAAAGCGGAAUUCCUAGUGUAGCGGUGAAAUGCGUAGAUAUUAGGAGGAACACCAGUGGCGAAGGCGGCUUUCUGGACGACAACUGACGCUGAGGCGCGAAAGUGUGGGGAGCAAACAGGAUUAGAUACCCGAGUAUC